This is a long non-coding RNA of Drosophila yakuba, 3803 nucleotides long. RefSeq lists it as uncharacterized. The record is from RefSeq and is a predicted model, not a curated record. NCBI's taxonomy places the organism in Eukaryota, Metazoa, Arthropoda, Insecta, Diptera, Drosophilidae. The transcript has 3 exons.
CGACGUUCUCUGGCAACCACCACCACCACACCAGCACACCACCUUGGCACCACUGACCGACCCAGCCGCAAGUUCACUGGGCGCCCCGCAAUACGCAAAUAAUUAUGGCUCAUACACACUGGUUCACCUUGAAAUGGUUCUAACAGAACAACGGAUCUUCUAUACUCGUAUCAAAACUGAUGUAAAAUACCGUCAAAGGCUCUAUUUAAAUAUAAGAAAGAUGAUCGAGACCAGAAAUAUUUAAAACUUUAAUUUUACUAACUAUCGUUAUAAUAGUUACAAGGCUGAUUUUAAUUGAGAAUAUGAUGGAUAUCUAAAAAUGGUACUAUAAGCUUUGUAUACUUUUUGAUACGGUAUGAACUAAUAUUAUCACAAACAGCUGGUCUAUAUCAAUCUAGAAAGCUACACAUAUAUGUAUGUAUCACAGUUCUAAACCUUUUUCUGUCGAGUAAAUUAAUUUCUAUGCCCUUUUUUCUGCGGUGCACUAACUAUGUGGGUGGGGAAUGCGCUUUCCCCUAUUCCGCUUGUCCGCUUUUCUCCAGGACGCGAAUGCAACAAGUUAAUCAACGCACGCCUCGCAUCAAACUGGCGCCUCAGUCCACAAACGCUGUCAUCAAAUGGCGGCACCCGCCGGCAGCGCAGCGACUGCGCAGCGGCAGCACGGCGGCAGAGCUUCGAGGGCCUUGUAAAAGUACUCCAGACCCCCAAAAGUGGGUGGUGGGUGUUUCUGGAUGGUGGGUGUAGGUGGUGGGUGGAGGGGGAUUUAAUAAAUUGUACGCUUGUCUCACGAUUGGAGUGUCCAUGUCCAUGUCUGCCGCUCCGAGUGAGUCAGCGUCGCUAUUCCGUGCUAUUUUUAAGUUAAUACGGCCAACAUCCUCCACUUUUAUUAUUGAGAAUGAAAAUAUAUCAAUUAUACAUAGAAGCAUGGCAGCGUGGCAGCACACACAAAGCGCCUUCCUUUUAUUCGGACACAUGUUUAUGUAUAAUUGCCGCUUUUCAUACAUUCGUCUUGGGCAGGGGAAUCGAAAGUGAACGCAGGCGUUGACCACUUGAUGCUUCUUUAAAAAUAAAUCCGGCACAGUGGGUCCAACUAGCUUGAAUACAAAUCGAACUAGUGAAAUUGAACUUGCUUAAGAAUAGCUCGAACAACAAUUGGAUAAGCACACAUGCGUUAAACUCAGCGGUGUUUUGGAAGUUAAAGUCCCAUAAAACGCAAAGCCUUUGGUAUUGUUGUUAGAUGGAAGCAAGAAUUUUUGUUAUCUAUGAACAGAGAAGGUUUGUAACCGUUUUACACCUUUCUUUAGCCACAUACCAUAGCACUUGCCGCACUGUUCACUUAUUUUCACGACAUAUUCGAAUGAAAACAACGAGUUUGUUUAGGUAUUUCUUCAAAGUCGCUCUACUGAAGGCGAAAUAUUAAUUAUUCAAACCAUUAAGUAUUUAAGGAGCACCGGAUGUGUUUUUGACAAGGUCAAUUUGUAGCUAAUAGAAUGCAGCUAAUUUGUCACACUCACUUGUAGGAAUUUAUAGCUGAAGAGAAGGAAAACAUAUACGAUGAAGAUCAGAAAGGCGAAAUGCGUCACCCUGGGACGAUGCCAGAAGGCAGGUAUACGCAUUUUCCCGAAUUGCCGGAAAAUCGCGAAACUAAAGCACCGAACUAUUCUCCAAACGUAGUGGAACUGAACUGAGCCCCAGUGCGCUUGCCUGCCGAUGAGUUCCCGGUUUUAUCAGCUCGGUUCCAUUGAUAAGGUGCGCUAUCAUCGGAAUUGAUACGCACCUAUGUGCAUGCAUUGUGUGCUUUACAGUUUUGGAGAGUUGGAGAGUUUCGCCGAGAAACCGACGGUUUCUUCUCUUUUAACGAGCCUAUUAGUGCAUAAAACAGAUGGGACUAAGCAACUGUUAGUUCAUGUCAAUAAACUUAUUGGUUAUGGUGACAAAAAUAACAAAAUGUACCAUUGAUAGGUUAUCUUUUUCUGUUUUGACUUUCUGGAGCUAUAUAGGGACUGCUUCCUUUGACGGACUUUUAAUCCAACGUUUUUGGUCGGAAAAAGAUUUAACAGUUAUAUCAAUUAUUGAACCCAAUUAAGUACUGCAAUAUCUCCUGGAUUUUCAAAGGACUUUCCGCGCAGCUGCACCUUCAGCUCAUUCCCAGCCCGCAUGCUGUCAGUAGUGAAAUCAUGUAAUGCCACCAAUUGAUGAUCCCACAAGAGUCCUCAAUGAAAUUAAACGCAACCAGCAUAACUGAACUACCAGUAGCCACCAAACUGACACAGGAGCAGCCCAAAAACUACCCCAAUGCGAAUACCCCCGUCCCAAUCCCAAUCCAAAUCCAAAUCCAAUUCCAAGUGCUUUGUUAUCUGUUCCUUGAGAAAACAGUUGGGUGAACACCUUUCUCGGGGAGAUUUUCGCCAAAGGACUAAUACACCUAUAGACCAAAAGAAACCCCCAGGAGCGUGAGAAAGCGAGCCAGCGAAAUCUUGACUAAUUACUAUGCACUCAACUGGUAGCACUAGAUCAGUUCGGUUCCCACAAGUCGACGGAGUCGUUUGAGCCGGGGGUGACUUAACCCGGCAACCCUCCACCGAGAAUCGGAAUCCCAGAGCAAACCAAGAAGUAAGGCGAUCGCGGGGACAGUGCCGACAUACCAGCAUAAAAUGAAAUAAGCAUUUUCAAUUCGAUUCAUUCCUUGGGCCUAACCCUCGUUUUAUUAUUGUUAUGGCCCAGCGGCACGCACCCGGUUCUUGCUUCCCAGUAUCCAGAAUCGUACCCCCUCCCAAAAUGUUGGAUUCCCCCUCUGCCGGCACGCCUGCGUCAUGCGAAAGUAUUUCAUGGUGGUGCUAUGGUGGUGGAUUUUUCAUUUGGCACAGUAUAAAAGACCGAUCCGAUCAGCAUUGCGGCACAGUCCAGUGAAAAGUCACAUAGAGUUACGACCUCGGUCCGAAGAUCGCUAAGCCGCCACCGUUGCUGUGGCGGCCUUAGCUGCUGGUUAAAGUUCAAUUAAAGAUAAUUAAAACUUCGCAAGGUUGGUCCAACCCAUGGAAAUCCAAAUACUGCUUAAAUACUUACAAAGCAUUUAAAAUCACUGAGCAAUUGUACAAAGCAGUCGGCAGAAAUAUAUAGAGAUUGAAAUUUAUUCAAAAGUUCAUUACGAUAAAAGCACCAGGAACCAAAAUGCAACUGGUAUUUAAGUUUAUCCUGCGAACAGAAAACCAAUGAGCAAGAAACUGAGGUGCAGCACACUGUAUGAUCGCCGUAUAAAUAAAUACAGAAAGUUUGUGACACUGGACACAUAAAAAGAGGACUUGACGACACCAACACGGAAAAGUCACACGCUCAUGGACCUAUUACAAAAGGGAAACAUACAAUCAAACAACGAACAUUUAAAAAAAAAACAAUAAUUUUAAUGAUAAACCAUUGAAUUCUACAAUUUUCCCUACUCGGUCUAAAUUACUACAUAUAACCACUUAGGAUCCGAAAAUUUUAUUGAUCCCCAUAAAAAAUCCAAAUGCAUAACCAAAUCUCACUAUGGUAGAGCUUCCAAAAAAACUUUAAAUAUUUCUAUACUAAAAAAUAAUCUACCACCAAACAGAUCGAGAAUUCUUGAACAUUUUUCCGAUGAUCAACGCAACUAUCAACAAAACAGCAUCUUCCAACAUUUAUGCCAAUGUUUUCCGGGUUAAAAAACGAAGCUUAGUUUUAAAUUUAUUCGUGCCUUUUUAGUUUCCUAAUUUGCUCAUUUUUUGUUGUGUUAAUGUUUUUUGUUAAUCAAAUUUAAAAGCUAUAAAUUUGUUGGUCUAACAAUA